RNAcentral lists this ribosomal RNA (506 nucleotides) under uncultured bacterium. Its description in RNAcentral is "partial 16S ribosomal RNA". It matches the Rfam family "Bacterial small subunit ribosomal RNA", at positions 29 to 523 of the family's 1533-position model. The record is from RNAcentral.
AGUGAACGCUGGCGGUAGGCCUAACACAUGCAAGUCGAACGGCAGCACAGAGGAGCUUGCUCCUUGGGUGGCGAGUGGAGGACGGGUGAGGAAUACAUCGGAAGCUACUCUGGCGUGGGGGAUAAGGUAGGGAAACUUACGCUAAUACCGCAUAGGACCUACGGGAUAAAUGAGGGGAGCUUCGGACAUUGCUCGGUUGAGUGAGCCGAUGUCGGAUUAGCUAGUUGGCGGGGUCAAGGCCCACCAAGGCGACGAUCCGUAGCUGGCCUGAGAGGAUGAUCAGCCACACUGGAACUGAGACACGGUCCAGACUCCUACGGGAGGCAGCAGUGGGGAAUAUUGGACAAGGGGCGCAAGCCUGAUCCAGCCACACCGCGUGGGUGAAGAAGGCCUUCGGGUUGUAAAGCCCUUUUGUUGGGAAAGAAAUCCAUCUGGUUAAUACCCGGGUGGGAUGACGGUACCCAAAGAAUAAGCACCGGCUAACUUCGUGCCAGCCGCCGCAGUAA